This is a non-coding RNA of Artibeus jamaicensis (Jamaican fruit-eating bat), 170 nucleotides long. RefSeq annotates it as small Cajal body-specific RNA 1. Lineage: Eukaryota; Metazoa; Chordata; Mammalia; Chiroptera; Phyllostomidae. The transcript has a single exon. The record is from RefSeq and is a predicted model, not a curated record.
ACACAGCUUGGUAUUCAUCCAGCAGUCUAUGUCCUGGCCUUGUGUCAAGGGCUCGCUGUGUGCUGUCACAGUUUAGUGCUUUACCAAGUGCAGCACUAAAGCCGGAGCCGCAAGUCUUCCAAGCCCAGGGGGUAAAGACAUGCUCUGAGUUAGAACUCAGUGGCACAACU